AUCAUGCUGUCCUUCCAUAGAAGGUUUAUUAAAUUCCACCGCCGUGGACGGUGGGCAUUGCCAACUUUCAGAACCUUCUUCUCCGAGCAAUCUCUUGUCAAAACCAGAGGAGGAUAUAAAGACAAGUGAGGAACAGUAUGUGGUAGAUACGUUGCUCAUUAAACUCGCCGACUCUUCAAUUUCAAUGGCGAUACAAACCGACGUUUGGUUUCAUCAGGUUUUCCUAUCAUCCUCAAUGUUCUAUUCAUCUGUUUGUAUAGCGUUUAUAAUACGUAGAUAAAGUACGAUUGAUACUUUGAUAUAUAGAUUUAAAUCUGUCGUCAAUAAGAACAUUUGUAGGUUGAUAUAUUUAAAGAUCUCGCAAAUGGCAAUUUGUUUUUGGAUCAGUUAGAGGCUAAUUGAAAUUUCGCUUAAUUAUUCAUACACAAUUGUUUACAUUAUAUCUUUUGUAAUUAAGUGUUUGAUUUUCACCUACGAUUAAUUAAAUAUUUCAGAAGCGACCUAUUUUUAAUCA
Long non-coding RNA from Cynara cardunculus var. scolymus (artichoke), 514 nucleotides. RefSeq lists it as uncharacterized. The transcript has 2 exons. The record is from RefSeq and is a predicted model, not a curated record. Lineage: Eukaryota; Viridiplantae; Streptophyta; Magnoliopsida; Asterales; Asteraceae.